Molecule: long non-coding RNA, 528 nt
Filed under: Bemisia tabaci
Lineage: Eukaryota; Metazoa; Arthropoda; Insecta; Hemiptera; Aleyrodidae
Description: lncRNA ENSSSA1NGG002062
Source: RNAcentral
CAGUCGCUUGGCCGCCGUUCUCUCUGCGCAUCGUGUCCGUGCCGCGUCGGAUUUAACUUCGUUUUCCCUCACGUGUUUUGACAAUUAUGUCAUCGCGUUUUCGCCCCGAAUAAACUUGUUCGUUUUUGUUUUUCGGUUUGUGUGAACUUGUGAAAAAUUAGUUUCAUGUUUUUGAUUUACCAAUGCUUGGAUAUACUUCCUACAGGUACGACACGGAGACCGCUAUGCUGGGAGUGGUCGCCUGGUGGGACCGCGCCGCAGCAACAGCUGUCCGUGGUGACUACCGUCUGGGGGGUGACUUCCUCGACUCAGUCGGCCCCGCAGAACUUCGGCUCAAGUCUGGCGACGAGCGGAUUCGCUCAUCAGCCGACCGGGAUCAGCGCCGCCAAGCAAGCCUCCAACUACCCCGGAUACCGACAAUCCACAGGGUAAUUGUUUUGCUGUUAUUUUCGUCGAAAUACCUCUUUAUCACCCAUGGAAUUCCGCUUCGUUCGUCCCUCCGUAUGUAUAUUCAUGGUGCCUCAACGU